GAUGAACGCUGGCGGCGUGCUUAACACAUGCAAGUCGAACGAAGCACUUUAUUUGAUUUCCUUCGGGACUGAUUAUUUUGUGACUGAGUGGCGGACGGGUGAGUAACGCGUGGGUAACCUGCCUUGUACAGGGGGAUAACAGUUGGAAACGGCUGCUAAUACCGCAUAAGCGCCCAGCAUCGCAUGAUGCAGUGUGAAAAACUCCGGUGGUAUAAGAUGGACCCGCGUUGGAUUAGCUAGUUGGUGAGGUAACGGCCCACCAAGGCGAGGAUCCAUAGCCGAGCUGAGAGGGUGGCCGGCCACAUUGGGACUGAGACACGGCACAAACUCCUACGGGAGGCAGCAGUGGGGAAUAUUGCAAAAUGGGCGAAAGCCUGAUGCAGCGACGCCGCGUGAGCGCAGAAGUAUUUCGGUAUGUAAUGCUCUAGCAGCAGUGAAGAUAAUGACGGUACCUGACCAAGAAGCACCGGCUAAAUACGUG
RNAcentral lists this ribosomal RNA (481 nucleotides) under uncultured bacterium. RNAcentral describes it as "partial 16S ribosomal RNA". It matches the Rfam family "Bacterial small subunit ribosomal RNA", at positions 28 to 507 of the family's 1533-position model. The record is from RNAcentral.